RNAcentral lists this non-coding RNA (546 nucleotides) under Pan troglodytes (chimpanzee). The record is from RNAcentral. Lineage: Eukaryota; Metazoa; Chordata; Mammalia; Primates; Hominidae.
GUGCGCAGGCGCUUGUGGCUUCGCGGGGCUGACCGUGCGCUUCGCCUGCGGGGUCGUGCUGGGGCGGCGGGUACGCUCUUUGAAGAACAGGUUUCCAUGCUCUUAGAGGAGCAUCAGAAAAUGAACAAACCCCAGGUGAGUUGCUUUUUUAGAUUUUUUCAUUUUCCAGGGGAUUUGCUGGCUUUUAUAAAAUUCGUUUAUUCAGAUGGACAUUUAAAAAGCUACUUCAGGAUAAAUGAGGAGUGAGAGGCAACUGAGCAGUAGGCAGAGGUGGCUGCGGAACCCUGUGGUCAUGUGAUCCUACAAUCGUCAAAGGAGAGUGGCAGAUUUGUCUUUUUUUUUGACACGGAGUCUUGCUCUGUUGCCCAGGCUGGAAUGCAGUGGCGUGAUCUUGGCUCACUGCAACCUUCACCUCUGGGGUUCAACCAAAUCUCAUGCCUCGGUCUCCCGAAUAGCUGGGACUACAGGUGCUCACCACCACACCCGGCUAAUUUUUGUAUUUUUUAUAGAGAUGGCUUCGCCAUGUUGGCCAGUCUGGUCUGGAGC